RNAcentral lists this long non-coding RNA (2358 nucleotides) under Gallus gallus (chicken). Its description in RNAcentral is "lncRNA (ENSGALG00010014563.1)". Lineage: Eukaryota; Metazoa; Chordata; Aves; Galliformes; Phasianidae. The record is from RNAcentral.
CAGGAGCACAGCAGGAGCACAAACCUCACAUUUUUUUGCUGAUGUGGAGUUAUUCAGUUGCACUUCCUGGUCCCAUGGUACCUCAUGGCCAAAGCCACAAGGAAACCCCAGACUAACCUGAUGAACUUUUCCAAAUACUCGUCUAUGUUUGCAUUUCCCCUUCCUGAGAACAGUGAUAUAAAAAUCAUACGAAGCCCUCUAACCUCAAGAGAGCAAAGCCCCAAACAGCAAGUAACUCAUGUGGCUUCUAAUGUAAUGAAGACGUCUGAAUCCUUUGGGGAAGAAUUUCAACAGCUUAGCUCUUACAGCAGUGCAGAUUACUAGGGUGAAAGAUACUGUACAAAACCACAGAAGAUCUGGUUUCCAAUCCCACAGCACCCUGGCUUCUCCUCUGUGAUUUCACACAGUGGGCAACAGUUGAUACCUGAAGAACAAACUCAAGCAUGAGCAAUUUUGGAGCAACAUCUCCUGGCUAGAAAGGACUCUGAGGAAUUUGAAACAACACAUCCUCUUAGCAGCAGUCACUAUCCAAGGGUGAACUACUAGGUCUGCAAAAAGGCCACAUCAAACCUACCCAACUAACCAAGGCUGCGAGCAGUACCUGGGCGUCUGCAAUUCCUCAGGUUCUCUCUUCUGCCCUCCACCACCCAUUGUUCAGGCUGCAGUCUUUUGGUGCCUCCUUAUCACUUGUGGCCAUCAAGGAGGCAAACGCUCCUUGGCGUUUGCCAGCAACUUCAGACCCUUGCCCCAAAGACUUCCGCAACACAAGUAACAGUGAUCAGAUUAAAGCAGAAAGGAAGGAGAUCACAUGAAAAGAAAACAAGGUCAGAAAGCAAAUUUGGAGGACCAAAUCUUCCAGCAUAGCCCCCUUGAAAUCAGGAAUGCUGACAGAAGCUCAGCCCUUCGGCUUUUCAGUCCACAGAAGGCCUGUGUCUGCCCAAGGAACCAAACUACUGUCUUCUGAGUCCCAAAUACACAUCCCAGCAGCUAUGCCCUACCCCGACCUGGAAGGCUGCAUCUCAAGCCCCGGCAGGAACCACAGAGGCAGCAUCUUCUGGCACCUUGCAGCACAAGCUGCAGCACCUUCUUGUACCUAAAGAAAAUAAAAUGCAGGUCUAAUAACCAACCUAUGACUUAUUAGCAGCAGAGCGCUUGAACAGAAAUGCUUGGUUUGUGUAACAGUAUUUUAUAUUCUAUUCUCUUCUGUACUCCUCUUGUGACAGCCUUAUCAGUGAGCAGGUUUCCAGUGGGCCACUGCAUGCUGUAGACAGCCAGUACAGUAGAAACUAUCUAUCACUACAGGACACUCCAUUAUAAUUAAAAAUUAAUGGCCAAUGAACUUUCUCCUUUUCUCCAUCCUGAAAAAUGUGAAUCACCCUGGGAUAAAAGGCUUCUGGGAUACUGAGCCUUUUUCAUUACAGGCUCAGUACAGUACUCUAAAGAUGCUCCUCUGUGGCAACACACACAUCAGUUCCACUGUGCCCUCAUGCUCACAAUCUGCCCUUAAAGCAGAUCUUCUCUCCCACUUCUUGCAGCACCAUUGUUUUCAGCAGCUCAGCUGACUUCACGAUCACCAAAGGCAGUCUCUAAUUUUUCUGACUGCGUGCCAGGUUGCCACUGGUGCUCAAGAAAUGACUCCUGUGCCUUUCAGUCUCUUCGAUAGCCAAGAGGGUGCCUCCUUUCCCUUGGCUUCCUCACCCAAGAUCUAUCUGCUGCUAGAUUAGCUGCCUGGGUACUGGAGACACUGGCUGUGCCUGACAAGCAAUCUCUGAAGGUUUCCGGGGCACUAUUACAUGCUGUCAACAUUGUGAGGGCUGAAUAGCUCAGAGGCUGGUCAGGGCUGCGCAGGACAUCAUUGCUGGAGAGGCUUCCUGAAGGGGCUUCUUUACUGGAAGCAGAGGGUGACUCAUUGCUGCUCAGCUGCUCUUGUUCAGAGAGAUUAAGUUUCUGCUGCAACAGGGUAGUAAUGAUGUUCAUGAAAAUCACUCUGCAGGAAUAAACUGUUACCGGAAUAAAAAGAAGAGAAACUGUAUGUUUGGGAAGAGAAGCGAUUGCUAUCGGUAGCUUCUUGUUGCUGAGCAAUUUCCAAGCGCAUGGAGAGCUCUGUGCUGCUUUGCAUCAGGCACAGCAUGAAGCAUCCACGGCAGCUUCCAAAGCACAGCUGUGCUCAGCCAAGCUGCAAAAUGCAAAAAGCACUCACAGAAGCGCAUGUAUUUCUGCACAUGUGUACUGGGGAUCCAGCAAGCAUUAAUGGCAUGCCCAUACACGCACAUUGGAGGUAAUGUCCAUAAAAUGCAGGCUUGCAGGCAAUGAGAACUCCUCCACGCAGCCCAGUUCACACUGUAUCUGAAUUUAAAG